This 526-nucleotide long non-coding RNA is filed under the name Homo sapiens (human). Its description in RNAcentral is "HSALNT0344981". The record is from RNAcentral. Lineage: Eukaryota; Metazoa; Chordata; Mammalia; Primates; Hominidae.
AGACGGGGCGUGGCCGGCCGUAGGCGGAGCUAGCGCGGGUUGAAGUUGCGCAAGGAUCUAGUCCAGUCACUGGAGGGUAGCACCGGCACGUGUGUUCCCGUCAGUGUUUCCUGAGAAGGAAAAAAGUAGGAAACAAAACCUCAUUCUGUCACACAGGCUGGAAUGCAAUGGCAGGAUGGUGGCUGCCUUGACCUCUGGGACUCAGGUGAUCCUCCCACCUCAGCCACUCAAGUAGCUGGGACUACAGGAGAUCUAACACAGGACAGAGGCAGAGAGAAUCCCCAAGAUGAUGGAGGAAGAUCGCAGCAUGACAGCUGUGCUCCAGGGGACAGUUGUGAGGAUCGGAGCAGCGCAAUUCAAGAGACAGGCACGUUGAAUGCUGUUACCACCAAGAUGUUGAAUGCUAUUGCAUACUCUAUUUAACAGGUGAACAGAAAGUCCAGUGAAUCUAGUCAGAUUUUGAUGUGUGAUUACUUUGCCUUUUUUUUUUUUUUUUUGAGACGGAGUCUUCCUGUCACUCAGGCUG